This 258-nucleotide unclassified non-coding RNA is filed under the name Hevea brasiliensis (rubber tree). Lineage: Eukaryota; Viridiplantae; Streptophyta; Magnoliopsida; Malpighiales; Euphorbiaceae. The record is from RNAcentral.
AAAAAAGAGACAGGCCUUGUCAUGGCGAGCCUUUGGUGCCUUCCGUGAUAAGGGGAAGGGGAGUGGUAAGGAGGGUCCCUUCCACCAGACUACUUUACUUUACUAGUUUGAAUGAAUGAAUUCAAAGUACGUACAGGAACUGGUUUAACAAAAGGGGUCUUCGAACUACAGGGAUCUGAUACCUGGCUCUCUUGGUAUGAAGAUAUGAAGAGUAGGUUAUGUAGGCAACAACCGUUCAUAGGUUGCUCGAUCGCAAAA